RNAcentral lists this ribosomal RNA (377 nucleotides) under uncultured bacterium. RNAcentral's name for it is "partial 16S ribosomal RNA". It matches the Rfam family "Bacterial small subunit ribosomal RNA", at positions 338 to 732 of the family's 1533-position model. The record is from RNAcentral.
CCUACGGGGGGCAGCAGUGGGGGAUAUUGCACAAUGGUCGAAACCCUGAUGCAGCGACGCCGCGUGAGUGAAGAAGUAUUUCGGUAUGUAAAGCUCUAUCAGCAGGGAAGAAAAGGACAGUACCUGUCCAAGAAGCACCGGCUAACUACGUGCCAGCAGCCGCGGUAAUACGGAGGGGGCAAGCGUUAUCCGGAUGUACUGGGUGUAAAGGGAGUGUAGACGGGUAGGUAAGUCGGGAGUGAAAGCCCUGGGACCAACCCCGGGACUGCUUUGGAAACUGUGUAACGGGAGUACAGGAGGGGCAGGCGGAAUGCGUGGUGUAGCGGUGAAAUGCGUAGAUAUCAGGAGGAACACCGGCGGCGAAGGCAGCCUGCUGG